This is a non-coding RNA of Oryza glumipatula, 206 nucleotides long. The record is from Rfam. Lineage: Eukaryota; Viridiplantae; Streptophyta; Magnoliopsida; Poales; Poaceae.
AAAAAGACAAACCCUUAGUUUCCGUGUCCAACUUUGACCAUCCGUCUUAUAUGAAAUUUUUUUAUAAUUCGUAUUUUCAUUGUUUUUAGAUGAUAAAACAUGAUUAAUAUUUUAUGUGUGACUUGUCUUUUUAAUUUUUUACAUAAUUUUUUUAAAUAAGACAGACGGUCAAACGUUGGACACGGAAACCAAGGUUUGUCUUUUUU